GAUGAACGCUGGCGGCGUGCCUAAUACAUGCAAGUCGAGCGAACGGACGAGAAGCUUGCUUCUCUGAUGUUAGCGGCGGACGGGUGAGUAACACGUGGAUAACCUACCUAUAAGACUGGGAUAACUUCGGGAAACCGGAGCUAAUACCGGAUGAUAUUUUGAACCGCAUGGUUCAAAAGUGAAAGACGGUCUUGCUGUCACUUAUCGAUGGAUCCGCGCUGCAUUAGCUAGUUGGUAAGGUAACGGCUUACCAAGGCUACGAUGCAUAGCCGACCGGAGAGGGUGAUCGGCCACACUGGAGCUGAGACACGGUCCAGACUCCUACGGGAGACAGCAGUAGGGAAUCUGCCGCAAUGGGCGAAAGCCUGACGGAGCAACGCCGCGUGAGUGAUGAAGGUCUUCGGAUCGUAAAACUCUGUUAUUAGGGAAGAACAUAUGUGUAAGUAACUGUGCACAUCUUGACGGUACCUAAUCAGAAAGCCACGGCUAACUACGUG
This 497-nucleotide ribosomal RNA is filed under the name uncultured bacterium. RNAcentral describes it as "partial 16S ribosomal RNA". It matches the Rfam family "Bacterial small subunit ribosomal RNA", at positions 28 to 507 of the family's 1533-position model. The record is from RNAcentral.